CGUCGGCGCCCAUGGGUACUCUCCCUUUUCGAAACGUUUUGAAAGACAAUGCAACCAUCCCAAUGGAAUAUUAUUGAAGCCCUGGUUGAAAAAGCCCCUAAAGAUUUAUGUUAUACAACGUUUGACAUGUUUGAACGAACUUAAAUAUAUAUUUUCUGCUCAUUCCUGACGACAAGUGAGACGCAGACGGUACAUUUUCACUAGCCUUCGGAGCGCGCUAACGCUAUUGGGACAUAAAUUAUUAACUUUUUUGAACAAAACUACAUUUGUUAUGGACCUGGGAUUCCUAGAAGUGCCUUCUGAUAAAGAUAAUCAAAGGACCAUGCCCCAGGACUACCUGGCCUGAUGACUCCUUGCUGUCCCCAGUUCACCUGGCCGUGCUGCUGCUCCAGUUCCAACUGUUCUGCCUGCGGCUAUGGAACCCUGACCUGUUCACCGGACGUUCUACCUGUCCCAGACCUGUUGUCCCAGACCUGCUGGAACCCUGACCUGUUCACCGGACGUGCUACCUGUCCCAGACCUGCUGUUUUCAACUCUCUAGAGACAGCAGGAGCGGUAGAGAUACUCUCAAAGAUCGGCUAUGAAAAAGCCAACUGACACUUACUAUUGUGUUACUGACUUGUUACACCCUCGACAACUACUAUGGUUAUUAUUAUUUGACCAUGCUGGUCAUUUAUGAACAUUUGAACAUCUUGGCCAUGUGCUGUUAUAAUCUACACCCGGCACAGCCAGAAGAGGACUGGCCACCCCUCAUAGCCUGGUUCCUCUCUAGGUUUCUUCCUAGGUUUUGGCCUUUCUAGAGAGUUUUUCCUAGCCACCGUGCUUCUACACCUGCAUUGCUUGCUGUUUGGGGUUUUAGGCUGGGUUUCUGUACAGCACUUUGAGAUAUCAGCUGAUGUAUGAAGGGCUAUAUAUAUAAAUACAUUUGAUUUGAUUUUAUUUGAUAUGAGCAGAUUAACUUGGUCAAAACAAUCAAAAUAUUUAUUUAUUAAAGACUAUCAGAAAGAAUGUUGGUACUUAUUUAUUUUGAUCCAAAACCCAUGAAUGAGUGAAUAAUCCAAUAAUAAUUGGUAUGACACGGCUCUUGGAACUCAUUAAGUGGCGGCUUCUAAAUGAAAGUACUUGCAGAUCAAUAAAAUGUCCCUGUACUGUAGAUCUAACUGAAUUAGAGGAUUGGAGGAUUCUAAAUUAAUAUCUAAGGGGCAUUUUUUGUUAGGGCAAAUCAGUUCUGUGAGAAUAUCUAAGGGGCUUUAUAUAAUUAUAAUGCAGGUUUAAUAAUAAUAAUAAUAAUAAUAAUAAUAAUAAUAAUAAUAAUCGUUGGCUCUCCUGACAUAUGCCUAGUUUCCUGAAACAGGUCACAAAUAGUCACCGCUAGCCGGCCUUCACCCUGUACCCCCUGAACUUAGUCACUGUUACUAGCGGCUACCACCCGGUACUAUACCCUGCA
This 1447-nucleotide long non-coding RNA is filed under the name Salmo salar (Atlantic salmon). Its description in RNAcentral is "lncRNA (ENSSSAG00000088548.1)". Lineage: Eukaryota; Metazoa; Chordata; Actinopteri; Salmoniformes; Salmonidae. The record is from RNAcentral.